UACGUAGGGUGCAAGCGUUGUCCGGAAUUAUUGGGCGUAAAGAGCGCGUAGGCGGCCUGUCGCGUCGGCUGUGAAAACCUGGGGCUCAACCCCGGGCCUGCAGUCGAUACGGGCAGGCUAGAAUUCGGUAGGGGAGACUGGAAUUCCUGGUGUAGCGGUGAAAUGCGCAGAUAUCAGGAGGAACACCGGUGGCGAAGGCGGGUCUCUGGGCCGAUACUGACACUGAGAAGCGAAAGCGUGGGGAGCGAACAGG
Molecule: ribosomal RNA, 253 nt
Filed under: uncultured bacterium
Lineage: Bacteria
Description: partial 16S ribosomal RNA
Rfam family: Bacterial small subunit ribosomal RNA
Source: RNAcentral